ACUCCUACGGGAGGCAGCAGUGGGGAAUAUUGGACAAUGGGCGAGAGCCUGAUCCAGCCAUGCCGCGUGUGUGAAGAAGGUCUUCGGAUUGUAAAGCACUUUAAGUUGGGAGGAAGGGCAGUAAGUUAAUACCUUGCUGUUUUGACGUUACCGACAGAAUAAGCACCGGCUAACUCUGUGCCAGCAGCCGCGGUAAUACAGAGGGUGCAAGCGUUAAUCGGAAUUACUGGGCGUAAAGCGCGCGUAGGUGGUUUGUUAAGUUGGAUGUGAAAGCCCCCGGGCUCAACCUGGGGAACUGCAUCCAAAACUGGCAAGCUAGAGUACGGUAGAGGUGUGGAAUUUCCUGUGUAGCGGUGAAAUGCGUAGAUAUAGGAAGGAACACCAGUGGCGAAGGCGACACCUGGACUGAUACUGACACUGAGGUGCGAAAGCGUGGGAGCAAACAGGAUUAGAUACCCCUGGUAGGAUAGCG
Molecule: ribosomal RNA, 472 nt
Filed under: uncultured bacterium
Lineage: Bacteria
Description: bacterial SSU rRNA
Rfam family: Bacterial small subunit ribosomal RNA
Source: RNAcentral